CCAUGCCGCGUGAAUGAUGAAGGUCUUAGGAUUGUAAAGUUCUUUCGCUCGUGACGAUGAUGACGGUAACGAGAGAAGAAGCCCCGGCUAACUUCGUGCCAGCAGCCGCGGUAAUACGAAGGGGGCUAGCGUUGUUCGGAAUUACUGGGCGUAAAGCGCGCGUAGGCGGCUUUGCAAGCCAGAGGUGAAAUGCCUGAGCUCAACUUAGGAAUUGCCUUUGGGACUGCAAGGCUUCGAGGACUGGAGAGGUGAGUGGAAUUCCCAGUGUAGAGGUGAAAUUCGUAGAUAUUGGGAAGAACACCAGUGGCGAAGGCGGCUCACUGGCCAGUUUCUGACGCUAAAGUGCGAAAGCGUGGGGAUCAAACAGGAUUAGAUACCCUGGUAGUCCACGCUGUAAACGAUGAGUGCUAGGCGUCGGCACGCUUGCGUGUCGGUGCCGCAGCUAACGCGUGAAGCACUCCGCCUGGGGAGUACGGUCGCAAGAUUA
This 487-nucleotide ribosomal RNA is filed under the name uncultured Pseudomonadota bacterium. RNAcentral's name for it is "bacterial SSU rRNA". It matches the Rfam family "Bacterial small subunit ribosomal RNA", at positions 392 to 896 of the family's 1533-position model. The record is from RNAcentral. Lineage: Bacteria; Pseudomonadati; Pseudomonadota.